RNAcentral lists this small nucleolar RNA (79 nucleotides) under Mesocricetus auratus (golden hamster). RNAcentral describes it as "Small nucleolar RNA SNORD115 (ENSMAUG00000003187.1)". It matches the Rfam family "Small nucleolar RNA SNORD115". Rfam says of the family: HBII-52 is a member of the C/D class of snoRNAs, which contain the C (UGAUGA) and D (CUGA) box motifs. Lineage: Eukaryota; Metazoa; Chordata; Mammalia; Rodentia; Cricetidae. The record is from Rfam by way of RNAcentral.
GGGUCUAUAAUGACAAAUCAAUGUCAUGAAAAGAAAUGAUGAUAUACAAAUCAUGCUCAAUAGGAUUAUGCUCAGGCCC